UACGUAGGCAGCGAGCGUUGUUCGGAUUCAUUGGGCGUAAAGGGUGCGUAGGCGGCGCGGUAAGUUCGGGUGUGAAUCUCGGAGCUUAACUCCGAAACUGCAUUCGAUACUGCCGUGCUUGAGGACUGGAGAGGAGACUGGAAUUUACGGUGGUAGCGGUGAAAUGCGUAGAUAUCGUAAGGAAGACCAGUGGCGAAGGCGG
Molecule: ribosomal RNA, 202 nt
Filed under: uncultured bacterium
Lineage: Bacteria
Description: partial 16S ribosomal RNA
Rfam family: Bacterial small subunit ribosomal RNA
Source: RNAcentral